CUGGUCGGACAUCAGGAGGUUAGUGCAAUGGCAUAAGCCAGCUUGACUGCGAGCGUGACGGCGCGAGCAGGUGCGAAAGCAGGUCAUAGUGAUCCGGUGGUUCUGAAUGGAAGGGCCAUCGCUCAACGGAUAAAAGGUACUCCGGGGAUAACAGGCUGAUACCGCCCAAGAGUUCAUAUCGACGGCGGUGUUUGGCACCUCGAUGUCGGCUCAUCACAUCCUGGGGCUGAAGUAGGUCCCAAGGGUAUGGCUGUUCGCCAUUUAAAGUGGUACGCGAGCUGGGUUUAGAACGUCGUGAGACAGUUCGGUCCCUAUCUGCCGUGGGCGCUGGAGAACUGAGGGGGGCUGCUCCUAGUACGAGAGGACCGGAGUGGACGCAUCACUGGUGUUCGGGUUGUCAUGCCAAUGGCACUGCCCGGUAGCUAAAUGCGGAAGAGAUAAGUGCUGAAAGCAUCUAAGCACGAAACUUGCCCCGAGAUGAGUUCUCCCUGACCCUUUAAGGGUCCUGAAGGAACGUUGAAGACGACGACGUUGAUAGGCCGGGUGUGUAAGCGCAGCGAUGCGUUGAGCUAACCGGUACUAAUGAACCGUGAGGCUUAACCUUACAACGCCGAAGGUGUUU
Molecule: ribosomal RNA, 622 nt
Filed under: Escherichia coli
Lineage: Bacteria; Pseudomonadati; Pseudomonadota; Gammaproteobacteria; Enterobacterales; Enterobacteriaceae
Description: partial 23S ribosomal RNA
Rfam family: Bacterial large subunit ribosomal RNA
Source: RNAcentral